Molecule: ribosomal RNA, 353 nt
Filed under: uncultured bacterium
Lineage: Bacteria
Description: bacterial SSU rRNA
Rfam family: Bacterial small subunit ribosomal RNA
Source: RNAcentral
GGAGUUUGAUCAUGGCUCAGGAUGAACGCUAGCUACAGGCUUAACACAUGCAAGUCGAGGGGAAACGACAUCGAAAGCUUGCUUUUGAUGGGCGUCGACCGGCGCACGGGUGAGUAACGCGUAUCCAACCUGCCCACCACUUGGGGAUAACCUUGCGAAAGUAAGACUAAUACCCAAUGACGUCUCUAGAAGACAUCUGAAGGAGAUUAAAGAUUUAUCGGUGAUGGAUGGGGGAUGCGUCUGAUUAGCUUGUUGGCGGGGUAACGGCCACCAAGGCGACGAUCAGUAGGGGUUCUGAGAGGAAGGUCCCCCACAUUGGAACUGAGACACGGUCCAAAUUCCUACGGGAGGCA